RNAcentral lists this long non-coding RNA (1325 nucleotides) under Cervus hanglu yarkandensis (Yarkand deer). RNAcentral describes it as "lncRNA (ENSCHYG00000023276.1)". The record is from RNAcentral. Lineage: Eukaryota; Metazoa; Chordata; Mammalia; Artiodactyla; Cervidae.
GGGGACUACGGCGGCGGCGCGCUGGGCGCCAACCUGCUCUACGGCCGGACGUGGUGACGGCGCGGCUGGCCGGGGGUCCCUCCGCCUCCCGAGGGUCUGCGCGCGCCGACGGCGGGGCCGCCGCUCACGAGCGGACGGACGGAUCGCGGAGAGGGGCGGGCGCCGGGCCUCCGCUGCGGGUGGGGACGCGACAAGCCCCGGGAUCGAACCCUGAGAUCGCGCCGGCCAGGAAGCUUUGAGUUGAGGCACAGAAACCAAAAUCCAGAAUCCAAGUGGCAGAGAGGAACGGCGGAGAUUGCAGGGCCGACGAUCGCAUCCGUGCGGGGAGCCGAGGCGACGCUGGCCGGCGGCGAAGCUGCGGCGCGCGACCCAGGGAACCCGGGUGUUGAUGCCGCCGACGCGCGCCCCCCUGAGCCGCCCGCCCGGCCCUGGCUCGGGGUCAGCCUGCAGGUCACCUCCCCACGGGCUUCCCCGACGCCGCGCGGCCGGACAGCGUUCCGGGAUGGACGGAUGACCGUGUGCUGCCCUCGAACUCACCCUGAAGACAGACGCUCACCACCGGCUCUCAGCGACGCGAUAAAGUCGGGCCGUUCCCAGGUUCUUAAAUGCUUAAAAACCUUGAAAAACUUGGCCCUACUCAAGCAUAGCACGAUGGAGGACAGUUAACUACACAAAACCGACCCGUUGCGUUUAUUUACUCCUGAGUGUGGAGGGGGCUAGUUAUAGCUUUAAACGCGCCAUUGAAAGUUCUAAAAAGCCUUUGUUGAAAUAAUGGGGACUUUUUCUGGAAGAUUCAAACGUGGGGGUAUAAGUUGGAAAGAGAUGUCAGAGUGAGGAGAGAGAAGGAAGCCAGGGCUUGCCACCUGCUAGAGGAAAGCUCGGGGCUUAAUUUUCCAUCAGGCUUUUUUGCUUAGAUGUCUUCAAAACACUUAAAAACAUUUUCAAACUUAAUGUGUUUUGAUCAGUUACGUGCAAUGGUGCAAAAAACCAAGUCAAAAACUAUUUCAGAUAUGCUCAUGAAAACUUAAAAAACUAGACCAAAAUUAAAGAUCUGAGAAAGUCUAGGUCCUAUAGAAGCAUGGCUCUAGGGUACUUAGGAAGCUGUAUACCCCAAGACAUGUGCAUGGGCUCCUUUGGAAUAUGCAAUACUUGAUUCAGGUGUUACACAUUUUCAAUAUUCAGAAGAUAAACAGCAUUAUUCCUUCACUGUAUUGUGAUGGUAAUAUAUAAUGGUUAAUUCAGAGACUCUCUAUCUCAACAAAAAAGAACACUGCUCUACUCACCCAUCAUCAGCAAUGAACUCAAUAGCUUCAAAAUACCUUCCU